This 600-nucleotide ribosomal RNA is filed under the name uncultured bacterium. RNAcentral describes it as "bacterial SSU rRNA". It matches the Rfam family "Bacterial small subunit ribosomal RNA", at positions 338 to 944 of the family's 1533-position model. The record is from RNAcentral.
CCUACGGGCGGCAGCAGUGGGGAAUAUUGGGCAAUGGAGGAAACUCUGACCCAGCGACGCCGCGUGCGGGAUGAAGGCCUUCGGGUUGUAAACCGCUUUCAGCAGGGAAGAAGCGAAGGUGACGGUACCUGCAGAAGAAGCACCGGCUAACUAUGUGCCAGCAGCCGCGGUAAUACAUAGGGUGCAAGCGUUGUCCGGAAUUAUUGGGCGUAAAGAGCUCGUAGGUGGUUCGUCACGUCGGAUGUGAAAAUCUGGGGCUUAACCCCAGACCUGCAUUCGAUACGGGCGAGCUUGAGUAUGGUAGGGGAGUCUGGAAUUCCUGGUGUAGCGGUGGAAUGCGCAGAUAUCAGGAGGAACACCAAUGGCGAAGGCAGGACUCUGGGCCAUUACUGACACUGAGGAGCGAAAGCGUGGGGAGCGAACAGGAUUAGAUACCCUGGUAGUCCACGCCGUAAACGGUGGGCACUAGUUGUGGGGACCUUCCACGGUCUCUGCGACGCAGCUAACGCAUUAAGUGCCCGCCUGGGGAGUACGAUCGCAAGNUUAAAACGUUAAAUUGAAUUGAGGCGUGNGAGNGCGACGACGACGACGAGGAGGAGG